This 548-nucleotide ribosomal RNA is filed under the name uncultured Bifidobacterium sp. RNAcentral's name for it is "bacterial SSU rRNA". It matches the Rfam family "Bacterial small subunit ribosomal RNA", at positions 147 to 710 of the family's 1533-position model. The record is from RNAcentral. Lineage: Bacteria; Bacillati; Actinomycetota; Actinomycetes; Bifidobacteriales; Bifidobacteriaceae.
CUCCUGGAAACGGGUGGUAAUGCCGGAUGCUCCGCCCCCUCGCAUGGGGGGUCGGGAAGGCUUUUGCGGAAUGGGAUGGGGUCGCGUCCUAUCAGCUUGUUGGCGGGGCGACGGCCCACCAAGGCUUCGACGGGUAGCCGGCCUGAGAGGGCGACCGGCCACAUUGGGACUGAGAUACGGCUCAGACUCCUACGGGAGGCAGCAGUGGGGAAUAUUGCACAAUGGGGGGAACCCUGAUGCAGCGACGCCGCGUGCGGGAUGGAGGCCUUCGGGUCGUGAACCGCUUUUGAUUGGGAGCAAGCGUGAGUGAGUGUACCUUUCGAAUAAGCACCGGCUAACUACGUGCCAGCAGCCGCGGUAAUACGUAGGGUGCAAGCGUUGUCCGGAAUCAUUGGGCGUAAAGGGCUCGUAGGCGGUUCGUCGCGUCCGGUGUGAAAGCCCAUCGCUUAACGGUGGGUCUGCGCCGGGUACGGGCGGGCUUGAGUGCGGCAGGGGAGGCUGGAAUUCCCGGUGUAACGGUGGAAUGUGUAGAUAUCGGGAAGAACACC